This 484-nucleotide ribosomal RNA is filed under the name uncultured bacterium. RNAcentral's name for it is "partial 16S ribosomal RNA". It matches the Rfam family "Bacterial small subunit ribosomal RNA", at positions 30 to 507 of the family's 1533-position model. The record is from RNAcentral.
AUUGAACGCUGGCGGCAGGCCUAACACAUGCAAGUCGAGCGGAUGAAGGGAGCUUGCUCCUGGAUUCAGCGGCGGACGGGUGAGUAAUGCCUAGGAAUCUGCCUGGUAGUGGGGGAUAACGUCCGGAAACGGGCGCUAAUACCGCAUACGUCCUGAGGGAGAAAGUGGGGGAUCUUCGGACCUCACGCUAUCAGAUGAGCCUAGGUCGGAUUAGCUAGUUGGUGGGGUAAAGGCCUACCAAGGCGACGAUCCGUAACUGGUCUGAGAGGAUGAUCAGUCACACUGGAACUGAGACACGGUCCAGACUCCUACGGGAGGCAGCAGUGGGGAAUAGUGGACAAUGGGCGAAAGCAUGAUCCAGCCAUGCCGCGUGUGUGAAGAAGGUCUUCGGAUUGUAAAGCACUUUAAGUUGGGAGGAAGGGCAGUAAGUUAAUACCUUGCUGUUUUGACGUUACCAACAGAAUAAGCACCGGCUAACUUCGUG